This is a long non-coding RNA of Anopheles funestus (African malaria mosquito), 1011 nucleotides long. RefSeq lists it as uncharacterized. NCBI's taxonomy places the organism in Eukaryota, Metazoa, Arthropoda, Insecta, Diptera, Culicidae. The record is from RefSeq and is a predicted model, not a curated record. The transcript has 3 exons.
GUCAAAGUUGGUAGAAAAUGGUUGUAAUUGGUCAAAGUUGGUAGAAAAUGGUUGUAAUUGGUCAAAGUUGGUAGAAAAUGGUUGUAAUUGGUUAAAGUUGGUGCUUUUGGUCAAAGUUGGUAGAAAAUGGUUGUAAUUGGUCAAAGUUGGUAGAAAAUGGUUGUAAUUGGCCAAAGUUGGUGCUUUUGGUCAAAGUUGGUAGAAAAUGGUUGUAAUUGGUUAAAGUUGGUGCUUUUGGUCAAAGUUGGUAGAAAAUGGUUGUAAUUGUUAAAAGUUGGUAGAAAAUGGUUGUAAUUGGCCAAAGUUGGUGUUUUUGUUCAAAGUUGGUAGAAAAUGGUUUUAAUUGGUCAAAGUUGGUGUUUUUGGUCAAAGUUGGUAGAAAAUGCUUGUAAUUGGCCAAAGUUGGUGUUUUUGGUCAAAGUUGGUAGAAAAUGGUUGUAAUUGGCCAAAGUUGGUGUUUUUGGUGAAAGUUGGUAGAAAAUGGUUGUUAUUGGUUAAAGUUGGUAGAAAAUGGUUGUAAUUGGCCAAAGUUGGUGUUUUUGGUCAAAGUUGGUAGAAAAUGGUUGUAAUUGGCCAAAGUUGGUGCUUUUGGUCAAAGUUGGUAGAAAAUGGUUGUAAUUGGCCAAAGUUGGUAGAAAAUGGUUGUAAUUGAUUAAAGUUGGUGUUUUUGGUUAAAGUUGGUAGAAAAUGGUUGUAAUUGGCCAAAGUUUUUGUUUUUGGUCAAAGUUGGUAGAAAAUGGUUGUAAUUGGUUAAAGUUGGUAGAAAAUGGUUGUAAUUGGCCAAAGUUGGUGUUUUUGGUCAAAUUUGGUAGAAAAUGGUUGUAAUUGGUUAAAGUUGGUAGAAAAUGGUUGUAAUUGGCCAAAGUUGGUGCUUUUGGUCAAAGUUGGUAGAAAAUGGUAGUAAUUGGUCAAAGUUGGUAGAAAAUGGUUGUAAUUGGCCAAAGUUGGUGCUUUUGGUCAAAGUUGGUAGAAAAUGGUUGUAAUUGGCCAAAGUUGGUAGAAAAUGGUUGU